UACGUAGGUGGCAAGCGUUGUCCGGAUUUACUGGGCGUAAAGAGCGCGCAGGCGGUCGUUCAAGUCGCGUGUGAAAGCCCCCGGCUCAACUGGGGAGGGUCACUCGAUACUGAUCGACUUGAAGGCAGGAGAGGGAAGCGGAAUUCCCGGUGUAGUGGUGAAAUGCGUAGAUAUCAGGAGGAACACCGGUGGCGAAGGCGGGUCUCUGGGCCGAUACUGACGCUGAGGAGCGAAAGCGUGGGGAGCGAACAGG
Molecule: ribosomal RNA, 253 nt
Filed under: uncultured bacterium
Lineage: Bacteria
Description: partial 16S ribosomal RNA
Rfam family: Bacterial small subunit ribosomal RNA
Source: RNAcentral